Molecule: ribosomal RNA, 207 nt
Filed under: uncultured bacterium
Lineage: Bacteria
Description: partial 16S ribosomal RNA
Rfam family: Bacterial small subunit ribosomal RNA
Source: RNAcentral
CUCGUAGGCGGUUCGUCGCGUCCGGUGUGAAAGUCCAUCGCUUAACGGUGGAUCCGCGCCGGGUACGGGCGGGCUUGAGUGCGGUAGGGGAGACUGGAAUUCCCGGUGUAACGGUGGAAUGUGUAGAUAUCGGGAAGAACACCAAUGGCGAAGGCAGGUCUCUGGGCCGUUACUGACGCUGAGGAGCGAAAGCGUUGGGAGCGAACA